Heterocephalus glaber (naked mole-rat) is the source of this 935-nucleotide non-coding RNA. The record is from RefSeq and is a predicted model, not a curated record. NCBI's taxonomy places the organism in Eukaryota, Metazoa, Chordata, Mammalia, Rodentia, Bathyergidae.
CCUCAAGCAGGGCCCAGACUGGCUCCUGAAAUGCAGCUAGAGGCUCUGGUCUGCCAGGCUGCAGAAAGAGGCCCAAAGUGAGUCGCCCAGGCAGGGGCCUGCAGCCCGCCCAGGAGGGUUGGUUAGGGCUUGCUGUUCAGUUUGAGGAGGCUCACUUCCUUCCCCUUUCUGCAGCCUGCUGGGCCCCAGGGAGCUGGUAACCCGGGAACUGAGGCACGGGGGAGAGGCCUCCGGAGCCUGUUGGGUUGCCAGCCUGGCUGUCAGCUGGCUGGGCCCUCCUCGGGGUGUGAGCAGAGCAUUCUACUGCAGUGACCAGGGCCCGGGCGUCCACCAGAGCAGAGUGCAGGGAUGGGGGAAUGACACUAUUCCAGGAGAGAGGAUUCUGCUCCAUGAAUGCCUCUGUGGCUCUACUGAUACUUCUCACAAGGACACCAAUCAGUGGAUUCAGGCCCACUGCGACUUGUGUGAUCUCAUUUUCACUUAAUUACCUAUGUCUGCAAAGAUCCUGUUUCCAAAGAAGGCCACAUUCAGAGGUUCCACUUUGGCAUGGAUUUCUGGAGACCUAUUCAACACAUUAGGUAGGCAAUGGUAAAAAGAUGCAUUUCCUUUCUGCUGGAAGGAAAACACAAAUAGACAACUGAAAAUUAGACUAAUUAAGGACACAUUAGCCAUUAAAACUUUAAGCAUUUGCAAAGUCCAUUUGAUAAAACAAAUGGUUAAUGCUGCUGCACAAAUUAUAUAAAUGCAGCAAAUCUGGUUCUCUUGGAUUCCAGUACCAGAAUUUAAGACUGAUAUCUUGAGAAAGCUAUGAUAGGGGAGAACUAGAUACCCAACUUUCUCACUGGGUCUCUCUCAUCAGCCUUUGCGCUAAAUCAAAGCGCCAGAAAUUGGUAAAGAUGUUGAUUGGGGAAUGGAAAAACAUAACCUACAAUUGU